AUUGAACGCUGGCGGCAGGCCUAACACAUGCAAGUCGAGCGGAGCGGCGGACGGGUGAGUAAUGCCUAGGAAUCUGCCUGGUAGUGGGGGAUAACGUCCGGAAACGGGCGCUAAUACCGCAUACUAUCAGAUGAGCCUAGGUCGGAUUAGCUAGUUGGUGGGGUAAAGGCCUACCAAGGCGACGAUCCGUAACUGGUCUGAGAGGAUGAUCAGUCACACUGGAACUGAAACAAGGUCCAGACUCCUACGGGGGGCAGGCGGGGGGAAUAUUUGACAAAUGGCGAAAGCCUGAUCCAGGCAAGCCGCGUGGGUGAAGGAGGUUCUCCGAUUUGAAAGCACUUUAAGUUGGGAGGCGUUACCAACAGAAUAAGCACCGGCUAACUUCGUGCCAGCAGCCGCGGUAAUAC
This 407-nucleotide ribosomal RNA is filed under the name uncultured bacterium. RNAcentral's name for it is "partial 16S ribosomal RNA". It matches the Rfam family "Bacterial small subunit ribosomal RNA", at positions 30 to 526 of the family's 1533-position model. The record is from RNAcentral.